This 253-nucleotide ribosomal RNA is filed under the name uncultured bacterium. RNAcentral's name for it is "partial 16S ribosomal RNA". It matches the Rfam family "Bacterial small subunit ribosomal RNA", at positions 524 to 776 of the family's 1533-position model. The record is from RNAcentral.
UACGUAGGGGGCAAGCGUUGUCCGGAAUCAUUGGGCGUAAAGCGCGUGUAGGCGGUUCGGUAAGUCUGCUGUGAAAGUCCAGGGCUCAACCCUGGGAUGCCGGUGGAUACUGUCGGACUAGAGUACGGAAGAGGCGAGUGGAAUUCCUGGUGUAGCGGUGAAAUGCGCAGAUAUCAGGAGGAACACCAAUUGCGAAGGCAGCUCGCUGGGACGUAACUGACGCUGAGACGCGAAAGCGUGGGGAGCAAACAGG